Molecule: long non-coding RNA, 824 nt
Filed under: Heterocephalus glaber (naked mole-rat)
Lineage: Eukaryota; Metazoa; Chordata; Mammalia; Rodentia; Bathyergidae
Description: lncRNA (ENSHGLG00100039369.1)
Source: RNAcentral
GGAGAUUUCUGUGUAGGAAGUUUGGGGAGGAAGGGAGAGAACAAAGACUGGGAAUAGCAGAGAUGAGAGGUGUAAUGUAGUUGUAACAGAGGUUUCGGCAAAAUCAUAGGGCAAGCAGGAGCUGGGCUGGGCCUUCUAGGUUAUCUCUUAGUACGGUGAGGAUGUUGGAUUGGGGGUUGAAGGGCUGGACUAUCCAUCCCUAUAUGGACCAGUCACUGAAUGUGGAGUUAGGCUGUUCUGGGGAAGGAGCAUGAUCUUGAAAGGACAGCUUUCUUUUGAGAAGAAAAAUUCUAGCUCUGAGUUCUCAGGAGCCAACAAUUCCAGCACUUAAGGUGGAAUCCUAAGGUCUAAAGGCAGGAUCUGGAUGGCAACUUGUAACAUCCUUAACAAGGAUAACCACCAAGUUUCAGGAAACUCUUUAUGGCAUCUCCUUGGCAAAUUUGAAUUUCCAGAAUCACCACUUUUAUCCGAAGGAUUCAGUCAAGGCUCGAAGCCCUGGAGCUCACUGUAGAGUCCCUCUCGAGUCUGCGUAAGGAGGCUGAAGGUUCUGCAAUGGAAGCUGAAGAAUCCUCACUGGAAGCCAGGAGAUGAUGUCCACAGCGAAGGUGAAGACUGGAGCUCCUCCAAAAAAAACAGAGCAGCUCAUCCUACUGACUUCUGCACUUGAUUGUAGCCAAGAGGCUGAGAAGCGGUCCUGCUGACUUCCAAAUGGGAAUAUUUGUGGUACAUUUCAGUUCCUUCCUCUCUCAUCUACCUCUUCCAGCUUCAGCAAAUGGUCAAUUAUGCUUCUAAAAUGUUCCUUUUGGAGCUUAUACUCCCAGUUA